GAAGCUGACCAGACAGUCGCCGCUUCGUCGUCGUCCUUUCGGGGAGACGGGCGGAGGGGAGGAAAGUCCGGGCUCCAUAGGGCAGGGUGCCAGGUAACGCCUGGGGGGGAAACCCACGACCAGUGCAACAGAGAGCAAACCGCCGAUGGCCCACGUAAGUGGGAUCAGGUAAGGGUGAAAGGGUGCGGUAAGAGCGCACCGCGCGGCUGGUAACAGUCCGUGGCAUGGUAAACUCCACCCGGAGCAAGGCCAAAUAGGGGUUCAUAAGGUACGGCCCGUACUGAACCCGGGUAGGCUGCUUGAGCCAGUGAGCGAUUGCUGGCCUAGAUGAAUGACUGUCCACGACAGAACCCGGCUUAUCGGUCAGUUUCACUU
RNAcentral lists this RNase P RNA (375 nucleotides) under Salmonella enterica subsp. enterica serovar Muenchen. Its description in RNAcentral is "RNase P RNA component class A". It matches the Rfam family "Bacterial RNase P class A". From Rfam's summary of the family: Ribonuclease P (RNase P) is a ubiquitous endoribonuclease, found in archaea, bacteria and eukarya as well as chloroplasts and mitochondria. Its best characterised activity is the generation of mature 5'-ends of tRNAs by cleaving the 5'-leader elements of precursor-tRNAs. Cellular RNase Ps are ribonucleoproteins. RNAcentral also lists the same sequence under 16 other names. Lineage: Bacteria; Pseudomonadati; Pseudomonadota; Gammaproteobacteria; Enterobacterales; Enterobacteriaceae. The record is from RNAcentral.